AUGCAGCUGCAGCUGGCCACGCUGGUGGUACUACGACUAGAUAUAGCGCAAGAACGCCGGCCGCUCACGCAGGGUGAGUUUCACCUUCGAAAGCUUCUGAAGCUGCGAAUUCUUGGGCUGGCAGCGGUGGAAAGGGCCCGGAAACGCCAGGCAUCUAGGAUAACAUGGCUGCGGGCAGGGGACGCCCAAACAGCCUUUUUCCAGGCCAAGAUCAAUGCCAGGCACAGGAAAAAUUUCAUUCACUCGCUGCACGGAUCGACUGGGGUUGCCACCACCCAUGAUGAGAAAGAGGAAAUCGUCCAUAGUCAUUUCGCUAGAUCAUUAGGGACUAGACAGGGCCGAGCAAGCACUAUUGACUGGAGCUACAUCGACAUGCCAAGGGUCCAAGGUGGCGGCCUAGACAAUCCGUUCACUGAGCAGGAAGUG
Molecule: ribosomal RNA, 426 nt
Filed under: Triticum aestivum (bread wheat)
Lineage: Eukaryota; Viridiplantae; Streptophyta; Magnoliopsida; Poales; Poaceae
Description: partial small subunit ribosomal RNA
Source: RNAcentral